Molecule: long non-coding RNA, 612 nt
Organism: Stegodyphus dumicola
Lineage: Eukaryota; Metazoa; Arthropoda; Arachnida; Araneae; Eresidae
Source: RefSeq, a predicted model, not a curated record
GCCGAGUUAAGAUGUAAUAUCUUCAAUCGUAACAUGGUUUCCGCUGGACCUAAAACGUGUAUUGCAGCAAAUGAAGAUACAGCUCGACAUUUUCUCUGAUAUCUUAAUAUAAGGAAACGUUCUUCGGGACAGUCAAACUACAGAAAUUCUUCGUCAGUUAAUAAGUAAAAAUGACAUUUGAUAAAAUUUGGUCAUUCCAAAUAUAAAUUUAUGAAGAAUUGGUAAUUAUUUGUAAAAACGAAAUAUGAAAUUUUGUUUGAUUUGUGUGAAGUGCCGGUAAUUUGAUGGUGCAUUAGGUUUUUGGGAGACUGUCAAACAAGACGAUAAAGGAUUUAUAUUUAUUAAUUACGUCAAAAGAUCUUCGAUCGGGUUUCAGAUGCUGCAGAAAGUAAAUUUGAAUUGCUUCGCAGCUGCAGAAAACCAGAAUCUAAUCAUCUAGAUCUCCAGAAAAGAAGAUUUGUAUGCUUAGCUUGUGUCUUGAAGAUAAGAAAGGGGCAGUUCUCCAUAGCAUUAUUGAAAUCAGUAAUAAUAUAGUUAAACUGGAGCAAGGGACAGGCAUGCCGUCGUGUGAAUUUUUGCUGCUUGUGGAUUACCUAUUUAUGUGGCGAAAGU